GACAGAGGUUGCAAACGUUGUUCGGAAUCACUGGGCAUAAAGCGCACGUAGGCGGUCUGUUAAGUCAGGUGUGAAAGCCCCCGGCUCAACCGGGGAAUUGCAUUUGAUACUGGCAGGCUCGAGAACGGUAGGGGUGAGUGGAACUCCAGGUGGAGCGGUGAAAUGCGUAGAUAUCUGGAGGAACACCGGUGGCGAAAGCGGCUCACUGGACCGUCACUGACGCUGAGGUGCGAAAGCUAGGGUAGCAAACGGGG
This 254-nucleotide ribosomal RNA is filed under the name uncultured bacterium. RNAcentral's name for it is "partial 16S ribosomal RNA". It matches the Rfam family "Bacterial small subunit ribosomal RNA", at positions 524 to 777 of the family's 1533-position model. The record is from RNAcentral.